GAUGAACGCUGGCGGCGUGCCUAAUACAUGCAAGUCGAGCGAACGGACGAGAAGCUUGCUUCUCUGAUGUUAGCGGCGGACGGGUGAGUAACACGUGGAUAACCUACCUAUAAGACUGGGAUAACUUCGGGAAACCGGAGCUAAUACCGGAUGAUAUUUUGAACCGCAUGGUUCAAAAGUGAAAGACGGUCUUGCUGUCACUUAUAGAUGGAUCCGCGCUGCAUUAGCUAGUUGGUAAGGUAACGGCUUACCAAGGCAACGAUGCAUAGCCGACCUGAGAGGGUGAUCGGCCACACUGGAACUGAGACACGGUCCAGACUCCUACGGGAGGCAGCAGUAGGGAAUCUUCCGCAAUGGGCGAAAGCCUGACGGAGCAACGCCGCGUGGGUGAUGAAGGUCUUCGGAUCGUAAAACUCUGUUAUUAGGGAAGAACAUAUGUGUAAGUAACUGUGCACAUCUUGACGGUACCUAAUCAGAAAGCCACGGCUAACUACGUGCCAGCAGCCGCGGUAAUACGUAGGUGGCAAGCGUUAUCCGGAAUUAUUGGGCGUAAAGCGCGCGUAGGCGGUUUUUUAAGUCUGAUGUGAAAGCCCACGGCUCAACCGUGGAGGGUCAUUGGAAACUGGAAAACUUGAGUGCAGGAGAGGAAAGUGGAAUUCCAUGUGUAGCGGUGAAAUGCGCAGAGAUAUGGAGGAACACCAGUGGCGAAGGCGACUUUCUGGUCUGUAACUGACGCUGAUGUGCGAAAGCGUGGGGAUCAAACAGGAUUAGAUACCCUGGUAGUCCACGCCGUAAACGAUGAGUGCUAAGUGUUAGGGGGUUUCCGCCCCUUAGUGCUGCAGCUAACGCAUUAAGCACUCCGCCUGGGGAGUACGACCGCAAGGUUGAAACUCAAAGGAAUUGACGGGGACCCGCACAAGCGGUGGAGCAUGUGGUUUAAUUCGAAGCAACGCGAAGAACCUUACCAAAUCUUGACAUCCUUUGACAACUCUAGAGAUAGAGCCUUCCCCUUCGGGGGACAAAGUGACAGGUGGUGCAUGGUUGUCGCCAGCUCGUGUCGUGAGAUGUUGGGUUAAGUCCCGCAACGAGCGCAACCCUUAAGCUUAGUUGCCAUCAUUAAGUUGGGCACUCUAAGUUGACUGCCGGUGACAAACCGGAGGAAGGUGGGGAUGACGUCAAAUCAUCAUGCCCCUUAUGAUUUGGGCUACACACGUGCUACAAUGGACAAUACAAAGGGCAGCGAAACCGUGAGGUCAAGCAAAUCCCAUAAAGUUGUUCUCAGUUCGGAUUGUAGUCUGCAACUCGACUACAUGAAGCUGGAAUCGCUAGUAAUCGUAGAUCAGCAUGCUACGGUGAAUACGUUCCCGGGUCU
Molecule: ribosomal RNA, 1372 nt
Filed under: uncultured bacterium
Lineage: Bacteria
Description: bacterial SSU rRNA
Rfam family: Bacterial small subunit ribosomal RNA
Source: RNAcentral